Molecule: ribosomal RNA, 484 nt
Filed under: uncultured bacterium
Lineage: Bacteria
Description: partial 16S ribosomal RNA
Rfam family: Bacterial small subunit ribosomal RNA
Source: RNAcentral
AUUGAACGCUGGCGGCAGGCCUAACACAUGCAAGUCGAGCGGAUGAAGGGAGCUUGCUCCUGGAUUCAGCGGCGGACGGGUGAGUAAUGCCUAGGAAUCUGCCUGGUAGUGGGGGAUAACGUCCGGAAACGGGCGCUAAUACCGCAUACGGCCUGAGGGAGAAAGUGGGGGAUCUUCGGACCUCACGCUAUCAGAUGAGCCUAGGUCGGAUUAGCGAGUUGGUGGGGUAAAGGCCUACCAAGGCGACGAUCCGUAACUGGUCUGAGAGGAUGAUCAGUCACACUGGAACUGAGACACGGUCCAGACUCCUACGGGAGGCAGCAGUGGGGAAUAUUGGACGAUGGGCGAAAGCCUGAUCCAGCCAUGCCGCGUGUGUGAAGAAGGUCUUCGGAUUGUAAAGCACUUUAAGUUGGGAGGAAGGGCAGUAAGUUAAUACCUUGCUGUUUUGACGUUACCAACAGAAUAAGCACCGGCUAACUUCGUG